AGGUAGUGGUCAUUGCCAACAGCAACCCUUUUCCACCUGUGCGUCAUACCUACCCUCAAAGCUUGGGAAAUUCUGCUACCAGGAUCAUAAUACAG
This is a long non-coding RNA of Pogoniulus pusillus (Red-fronted tinkerbird), 95 nucleotides long. RefSeq lists it as uncharacterized. NCBI's taxonomy places the organism in Eukaryota, Metazoa, Chordata, Aves, Piciformes, Lybiidae. The record is from RefSeq and is a predicted model, not a curated record. The transcript is spliced from 3 exons.